GACGAACGCUGGCGGCGUGCUUAACACAUGCAAGUCGAACGGAAAGGCCCUGCUUUUGUGGGGUGCUCGAGUGGCGAACGGGUGAGUAACACGUGAGUAACCUGCCCUUGACUUUGGGAUAACUUCAGGAAACUGGGGCUAAUACCGGAUAGGAGCUCCUGCUGCAUGGUGGGGGUUGGAAAGUUUCGGCGGUUGGGGAUGGACUCGCGGCUUAUCAGCUUGUUGGUGGGGUAGUGGCUUACCAAGGGUUUGACGGGUAGCCGGCCUGAGAGGGUGACCGGCCACAUUGGGACUGAGGUACGGCCCAGACUCCUACGGGAGGCAGCAGUGGGGAAUAUUGCACAAUGGGCGGAAGCCUGAGGCAGAAACGCCGCGUGCGGGAUGACGGCCUUCGGGUUGUAAACCGCUUUCGCCUGUGACGAAGCGUGAGUGACGGUAAUGGGUAAAGAAGCACCGGCUAACUACGUG
Molecule: ribosomal RNA, 468 nt
Filed under: uncultured bacterium
Lineage: Bacteria
Description: partial 16S ribosomal RNA
Rfam family: Bacterial small subunit ribosomal RNA
Source: RNAcentral